This 532-nucleotide ribosomal RNA is filed under the name uncultured bacterium. Its description in RNAcentral is "bacterial SSU rRNA". It matches the Rfam family "Bacterial small subunit ribosomal RNA", at positions 777 to 1308 of the family's 1533-position model. The record is from RNAcentral.
AAUAGAUACCCUGGUAGUCCACGCCGUAAACGAUGAGUGCUAAGUGUUAGGGGGUUUCCACCCCUUAGUGCUGCAGCUAACGCAUUAAGCACUCCGCCUGGGGAGUACGGUCGCAAGACUGAAACUCAAAGGAAUUGACGGGGGCCCGCACAAGCGGUGGAGCAUGUGGUUUAAUUCGAAGCAACGCGAAGAACCUUACCAGGUCUUGACAUCCCGCUGACCGCUAUGGAGACAUAGCCUUCCCUUCGGGGACAGCGGUGACAGGUGGUGCAUGGUUGUCGUCAGCUCGUGUCGUGAGAUGUUGGGUUAAGUCCCGCAACGAGCGCAACCCUUGUCCUUAGUUGCCAUCAUUCAGUUGGGCACUCUAAGGAGACUGCCGUACAAAUACGGAGGAAGGUGGGGAUGACGUCAAAUCAUCAUGCCCCUUAUGACCUGGGCUACACACGUGCUACAAUGGACGGUACAAACGGUCGCGAAGUCGCGAGACGGAGCCAAUCCGAAAAAACCGUUCUCAGUUCGGAUUGCAGGCUGC